GCUUGCUAAGGUACUCAGCUCCCAGCAUUAAAAAAAUGCUGUUGAUAUACCAUUUUGAUUGAAAACACUUCUUUGCAAACCCUAGUCUUGGGAUAGGAGGAAAAUAACAACGGCUACGAUCACUACAACUGAUUUGCUAUGAUUCUCUCUGCUGAAAUUGAGAUAAAAUUUGCCACAUGCCACUCUGAAAUUGAUUACCUUCUCAACUCAGUCAAUAGCAAAGAACUUGGUCUCACUAAUUCAGAGUGGCUUAGGUCAUGCCUCCCGCUGACAGUGUGACGGAGAAGCCAAAAGGAGCAGCUCUAGGGAGGGGCAGAGAAGGCAGCUCUUUUAUCAGAAUCUUCCUCUUCUUCCCUUAAUGCACAAAUGGAUUGAAGGAGAGUGAAGAACGUGAAACAGUAGACACAGUUAAAUGAUUAUUCACUGAUAGCAGGAGAAUCAGGCAAAUCCCACCACCUGUUUAUGGCCUCCCAACACAGACUCACUGACCAGAGAAACCAUCAGUUGCUGCUACAACAUGGCUUGAUGAGUGGUGUCGGUCUGCACCUGAGAUCCAAACUUGAGAACCGGGCCGCUGAAGCGGAGCAUGCCAGACUUAACCACUACACCACGGGGCUGACACCACAGUGUUUUUAUUACUAAAUAAAAUAUUUUUCAU
This 658-nucleotide long non-coding RNA is filed under the name Equus asinus (donkey). RNAcentral's name for it is "lncRNA (ENSEASG00005034743.1)". Lineage: Eukaryota; Metazoa; Chordata; Mammalia; Perissodactyla; Equidae. The record is from RNAcentral.